Hevea brasiliensis (rubber tree) is the source of this 396-nucleotide long non-coding RNA. RefSeq lists it as uncharacterized. NCBI's taxonomy places the organism in Eukaryota, Viridiplantae, Streptophyta, Magnoliopsida, Malpighiales, Euphorbiaceae. The record is from RefSeq and is a predicted model, not a curated record. The transcript has 2 exons.
GGAUAUGCACAGCCUAGUAGCAAAAACAUUGAGGAUAUGCUUAAUGACAUGAACAGGUUGGAGUACAUGCAGGGCUACCUCACUUCUUUGGUCUCGGCAAUUAGGAAUGGAGCAGAUGUGAGAGGCUACUUCCAUUGGUCUCUGAUAGACAAUUUUAAGUGGACAUAUGGUUAUACAAUAAGUUUCGGGUUGUAUCAUGUAGACCGCAGAACAAUGCAGAGAACACCAAAAAUAUCAGCCAAGUGGUUCCAACAUUUCCUGAAAAAUGAAUCUAGUUUCUUUCAUGCCCAAGAAUAGCAACAAAACAAUAUUGUGCAUUCGAAAUCUAGAUUGUUGAAAAGCUAGAUAGACAGUGUGCAUAUAUAUAUAUAUAUAUAUAUAUACACUCAUAUUUAU